GGGGGUGUGGAUCAAUGGUAGAGUGUGUGCUUACCAAGCACAAUGCCCUGGCUUCAAUUUUGGCACUCCCC
This 71-nucleotide transfer RNA is filed under the name Ictidomys tridecemlineatus (thirteen-lined ground squirrel). RNAcentral describes it as "Spermophilus tridecemlineatus (thirteen-lined ground squirrel) tRNA". It matches the Rfam family "tRNA". Rfam says of the family: Transfer RNA (tRNA) molecules are approximately 80 nucleotides in length. The record is from Rfam by way of RNAcentral. Lineage: Eukaryota; Metazoa; Chordata; Mammalia; Rodentia; Sciuridae.